GAACGGGCGCUCAUUACGGCUGAACGGAAUGUAUGCUAGCCGAGUUUUGUGUCAAUUUCUAAGUGUCAAAUUUGAAAUUGUACUAUAUUUUUUAUUUCAAGAAUAUUUUGAAUCAACUAUUGUGUGGUUGGAGUAAUUUUAAUAGUAAUCUAAUGACUUUUUAUUAAUUGAACGAAACGAUUACGGUGUCAUUUUCUGCCGGUUCUUGUUCAGCUCGCUUCAUUGCAGCGUGCAGGCUGUCUGUCGAUGAUGAAUAGGAGGGAAGGAUAUUAGUAUUUCUGCGCUUGAAAGAAGAGGAUUUGAAUACAGCUUGCUAGGGGAGAUAUUCACGGUUGGUUGUACUCUUCGUUGCUACUGAUCACCACUAGGCCCAGUCAGUCUGUUGUUCAUGAAAGUAAAGUGACUGUAAGGUCUGACCAAAUCGAUUCAAUAACAGUUGUUUUCAAUGCCUUGUUACGAUCCUCAGCUAUGUGGGUGAAGAUGUCCCCAACAUCGAUUUUGAAAACCACAAACGAAGGCUGUUGUCUUCGUUAGCAACGGGACGCUUUUCAGUCGUGCCUUAAGUGCGUUAGCACAUGACUUAGAUUUUUCAUUGUAAUCGAAAAGGUGUGGAAGCCAAAGUAUUGCUGUUUUUUUUUUCCUUUGGUAAAUACAUACUAACUACUUAAAUCAAAAUGAUGGCUACAUAAAGUAACUGGAAAUAAACUUUAUUCAUGAUGUUGAAAGACUUUCCUGACAAAUACCGUGGAUUAGAAAGCUUAGAUGACUCUAAUUUUGGAGACACCUCAUCAUCACCGUCAAAAGAAGAUGAGUUAUUUGGAACAAAUGCAUAUGUAGAUAGUACAAGCUCAAGCAGACAAGGACAUGAGAAAAAACUUGUACAUAGAACAACAAGUUCAACUUUAUCCGGAAUUUCAAUAGAUGGUUCGAUACGGAGUACUCUGAAUUCUGCAACCUCACAACUAGAGGAUGGAGAUGUUGAAGAUGGAACAAAUGUACACGUUGUUGCAAGGGUAAGGCCAUUUAAUGAUGUUGAAAAGAAACGGAAGGACAGAAAUGGUGUGACUUUCACUGGAAACAAUUCUAUUACAAUUGACCAGGUUAAUGGAAAGUCCAAGAAAUUCACCUUUAACGCCGUCUUUCAGCCAGAUGCUUCCCAGCAAGAAUUCAUGGACAAGUGUGGCAUCAAAAAAAUGGUUGACAUGGCUGUGGACGGAUAUGCAUGCACAACGUUUGCCUAUGGUCAGACCGGCUCAGGCAAAACAUACACAAUAACUGGACCUGUUGCUAGUGUUUACCAGGAUUCAGUGGCUAGUGGUCUUAUCCAACGGUCAUUUGCCCACCUUUUUGAUGUGAUCAAGCAGGCACCUGACAAUUAUACCUUAACAGCAUCCUACCUGGAGAUUUACAAUGAACAGGUGAAGGACUUGCUUAAUCCAUCAGGUAUUGAUUCCUUGGCUGUUAGGUGGUCAAAGGACCGAGGCUUUUAUGUUGAAAAUCUAUUUAUGGUCGAAUGCGAGACGUUGGAUGAUGUACUGGCUGUUCUAGAAGAAGGCAUGAGUCAAAGACAGAUAGCAACUCAUAACAUAAACGAACAUUCCAGUCGGAGCCAUACUAUCAUGACAUUAUAUAUAGACAGUGAAAUGGUUGAUCCUGAUGAUGACAGCCUGUACAUUAGCAAGCAUGGUAGAUUGGCGUUUGUUGAUUUAGCUGGUAGCGAGAAGGUGAAAGAACUAGGCUCCUCCAAUGGGGAACUCCUCACAGAGACAACUAAUAUCAACAAAAGUUUGUUAACAUUAGGUAACUGUAUCUCAGCUCUUGGGGACACAAGGAAACGGUGUGGACAUAUUCCCUAUCGUGACAGUAAGCUAACCAAACUACUGGCUGACAGUUUGGGAGGCAAUGGAGUCACAUUAAUGAUUGCAUGUAUUUCACCAUCACAAUACAGCUGUGGAGAAUCUCUCAGUACAUUACGAUAUGCCAACAGAGCAAAACGAAUUAAAAAUAAGCCAGUUGUGAAAAUGGAUCCACGUGAAAGGUAUAUCUUGAGUCUUAAAAGGGAAGUGAAACUCCUACGGACGGAGAACCAGUACCUCAGGAGCCAUGUGGACUUCCCUGGAACCGCUAGGCCUGGAGGUAGAAAGAAUAAUGCAGCUGAUAAGACCCUAAGUGCCAAGUCCUCUUCUGAUACCUUGCGUGCAGAUUCCAAUAAUAGUAACCGGGAGCUAAGUGCAAAGACAAUAAAUGGGGACCAGGAAAUGAAUAAUAAUCAAAGGGCUACAGAAGGAAGUAUAUCAGAGACUGGCAGUGUCAAGUCUGCAGUUGAUAGCAGCCUGUAUGAAAUGUUACAGCAGUACAUGAUAGAGAAUGAGACAUUACGCACAGAGAACUCUGGCCUUCAAAGUUUCAAGGAACGCAGUGCUCGUGAACACGAAAAACUUUCCCGAGAUAAUGAACGACUAUCUAGGAAAUUGGAUUCAGUUGGCAGAGCUUUUACUUCAUCUCCGUAUCCUGGAACAGUUCAAGGAAAUUCUCUUCAUUCGUCUGCUAACACUGUGCACAGCUAUAACUCAGCUUUCAGCAGUAAUUCAUCAUUAUCUUCAGUGCAACUUGAACUCAAAGUGAGUCCUCCCGCCACUGUACCUUCAACAAGUAAAGCUUCACCCAAAAACACUACUUCACCUCAAAAUCGUCUGUCUUCCCAAAAUCCUUUGCCACAAUCACCCUGGAGACAUGGUUUAUCGCCACCGGAAGCUGUACCGCCAAACAACCAAGAAGUUACCCGGAACGGAGAGAUGUGGACUGAUGAAUCACCAUGGAAACAGGUAUCAAAAUCACUACCGCCAGUUGAUAAUGUUAAAGGUGUACCAAAUGGAUACCGAACACAACAGAAUACACAUUCAACCACCCAGCAGAGCUAUGCAGCCAUGCAUCAUUCCUACCCAUUACCCCAUAACAGCUCCUCGCACCCCCAAUCAAAUUCAGAUUUUUCACCCCAGCAACCCAUUUCUAAAAAUCAAAGGUUUGCCAACUCUAAAAAGACAUAUUCACCUCAAACACAUCAAACUUUCCCACCCUCAUCUCAAGCUGGUUCCCAGCAGCAACAUGGACAACUUCGUAGGCAAGCUAAUCUUCCACAAAGUGAAAACAUGCACAAUCCCAGGACUCAGCAUCAAGUACAUCAAUCUAAUGAGCAUAUACCACCUGGUCAACAGUAUAUGCCACCUGGACAUUAUCAGCAAAUGCCACCUGGAAAUUCCCAAGCACCACCUGGCCAACAACACAUGCCAGCUGGCUAUUCUAAUACACCACCUGAUUAUAAUCAUUCUAGAGGUAGUGAGCAAGAUCCAAACAAUAGGCUUCCACCAGGCAGUGGCAUGGGUCAAGCUGAUUUGGACAACCAAGUGACUGGACAAUCUAGAGCAGAUAUCUACAUCCCUUCUCUGCCAUCUACCAGAGACAGGAUGGAUGUCACCGCAAAGUUUGAAGCAAACCACAACUCAAAUGUAAAAUCAAAUUUGCAUACUAUUCAAGAGGACCGUGACAAGAAGAACCCAGGCAAGAAGGCACCCAAUAGGCAGAUAGGUGGCAGUAAACAGUCAGUAGGUACAGGUUACAAGGCCAAAGCCAAGCGAAAUGCAUGGAUGAAGGAGAAGGCAGCUUCGACAGACAGAAGACAGGAGACUAAGGCACCAGCAGCAGGCGCAAAGAAAGCAGGCUUGCGGAAACAAGUUUCUUUGGAUGAUUCACGAAUUGACAGAAUCCCACCAACUCCAUCUGCAACACCACCUCACGUUAAGUACAAGCCCAAGUCCCAAGUUGAUAUGAAUGUGAUUAUGCACUCAGCUAGCCUAGAUCUUGCCAGUGGGCCAUCUGAUUCAGGUUCCCUGAAGCAAUUAAAUGUGCAGCUGAGACAAGACCUGCAGGAUCUUGAUGGAGAAAUUGAAUACCUCAAAUACGUGAAUAAAAGUAAACCAGUGACACGAGACAAACUCAAAUGAUGAACUGUUUAUCACAUAAACUUAACAACGUGACCUAGAAGUGAUAUGUAUGUGUGUCAAAAUGGAGAAGAUGAGUUGAGAAAUCAAGUAUAAAGAAUGGAGUUCAGAAUGAGAUUCUAUUUAUCUGUAUGUUUGAUUGAUGCUGUCCACACUCUCAGGUUUAUGUGAUUUGUCCAUGUAUGGGCAUGAUAAUGUCAUAUCACACCUUAUAUGGGCAAAUCACAGGUGUUUGUCAUAUAAAACUUGAAAGUGUUUACAGACCUUACAAUAGUUUAAAAAACCUGCACUGUAUAUUUUAAGGUGCAUAUAUAUUUAAUUUUAAAAAUGUAAAUAAAACUAAUAUGUAUUGUUAAAAUUGGAGUUUAAUUUUGUAAUGAUAAACGUUUAUGUAUUUGUUACCAUAAUUAGCAAUAUGACAAAUGUAUUUACAGUGUGCCUAUAAAAGGAUAAUAUUUCUUCCUCUGUUAAAGUAUAUCAGGAAUCCAUUGUUCUUAUAGAGUUGUUUAUUUUAUUGACAAAGAAAAUAUUGUAAAUAGUAUUUUUCAGAUUCUGCUUUUGCUGAAUAAAACACAAUACUUGAAAUGUGGUAGUUUUGAAUCCGAAGUGCAAUAUUCCAAAAUGUAUCUUGAUUCCUUGCGAUAAAAGUAUUAUGUUGUUUUUAUACCAAAGCUUGAACCUUUUCAUUUGUAAUGUGAUGUACUCAAUUGUCUAAAAGCUGUGUCUACACUAUCAAGUUUUCUUUGACAUACUGCUGUAUGCCCAUAUAUAGUCACGAUGUGCCCAAAUAUAGUCAUGAUGUGUCUAUAUAUGGUCAUAAUGCCAUGUCAUCAUGACCAUAUUUAGGCAUGUCACAUGUUUUUGUCAAAUAAAAUUUGAUAGUCUGGACAGGGUUUUAGCUUUAGUUGAACCACCUCCAUGGUUGAACUAUCCGUAAAGGUUGAGCGAUUGCAUACCACUUUGACUACAGAUACUUAGAUAACUUUAUCGAUGUUUGUCUCCACCUUGGGGUAUAAAUUGUGGCAAAGACAAGGAAAAACAUUCACUCGUCGCAAAUUGUGUUUCAGAGAAAAUGGCCAAAACAUGCUAGAAUUUCAAAUUUUAAAAAAUCUAUUUUAUUACACUAAACUAACCUUUGUAUAUCUAUACAUCAUGCUAUGCUGUUAUUUCCCCCUUUUUCAAUGUUAAAACAACACUUUUUAAGGAUUUGAUGAUGAGAAAUGCCCGAAAUCAUAAGCUUUGAAGGCAGAUUUCUCAUAUGUUGUUCUUUAAACAGCUGUAUGUUUAAAUGCUUGUAACUUCAUACGGAAAUGUUGGAUUUGAAUGAUUUUUUACCAUUUUAUAGCUCUUAUUUUUUUUUUUUUUUUAAUUAUUUAUUUGUUC
Molecule: unclassified non-coding RNA, 5381 nt
Filed under: Anneissia japonica
Lineage: Eukaryota; Metazoa; Echinodermata; Crinoidea; Comatulida; Comatulidae
Description: kinesin-like protein KIF12, transcript variant X2
Source: RNAcentral